GCGCAGGUAGUUCAAUCAAGGCAGAACACCGCCAACGGCGGACGAUGUGAGUUCGACUCUCGCCCUGCGCC
RNAcentral lists this transfer RNA (71 nucleotides) under Muribaculaceae bacterium. RNAcentral describes it as "tRNA-OTHER". It matches the Rfam family "tRNA". Rfam says of the family: Transfer RNA (tRNA) molecules are approximately 80 nucleotides in length. Their secondary structure includes four short double-helical elements and three loops (D, anti-codon, and T loops). Further hydrogen bonds mediate the characteristic L-shaped molecular structure. tRNAs have two regions of fundamental functional importance: the anti-codon, which is responsible for specific mRNA codon recognition, and the 3' end, to which the tRNAs corresponding amino acid is attached (by aminoacyl-tRNA synthetases). tRNAs cope with the degeneracy of the genetic code in two manners: having more than one tRNA (with a specific anti-codon) for a particular amino acid; and 'wobble' base-pairing, i.e. permitting non-standard base-pairing at the 3rd anti-codon position. Lineage: Bacteria; Pseudomonadati; Bacteroidota; Bacteroidia; Bacteroidales; Muribaculaceae. The record is from RNAcentral.